Long non-coding RNA from Homo sapiens (human), 445 nucleotides. Ensembl annotates it as PANK1 antisense RNA 1. Its record names the gene PANK1-AS1. The record is from Ensembl. Lineage: Eukaryota; Metazoa; Chordata; Mammalia; Primates; Hominidae.
UUUGCAGAGGUGUCAGGUUUGCUAAUCCUGUCCCCAGUGAGCAAGAUACCUUUGCAAGGGGAUUUGAUGCAGAUGAUCAUCAUGGCUUGGAGAAACAAUGAAGGAAGCAAAGUAUGCCAUCUAUGCUGCGGGAGGUAACUCCAGAAGACCCCAGAGAGAACGAGUUUGGACUUUUAACUGAGGGCCAUUGGAAACUACUGAAGAGUUUUAGGCAGCAUAAGAACUACUAGAUUUUCAUUGUGGGAGGAUCCUCAGCAGCAGCCUCAGAAAGGAGAUUGGGGAAGGAGAUCCCUAGUCAGGGAGACCAAGAAGACUACUGGAAAAAAACAGGGGAAUCCUCAAGGACCUGCAAACAAGAAACCAAAUCCCCCCACUCCCCCCAGCCAAAAUGUGUUCAUUUUGACCAGCUGUGUGUGUGUUUUAAAUUAAAAGUUUGAAUUAGAAA